Molecule: non-coding RNA, 21 nt
Organism: Caenorhabditis elegans
Lineage: Eukaryota; Metazoa; Nematoda; Chromadorea; Rhabditida; Rhabditidae
Source: Ensembl
UGUUUGUUUUGAACCAUAACA